AACCGACGUCAUCUACACCAGAUUGUAGAAGAGGCGUUUACAAUGGUAACAAUGCUAUAAGUGGAGACCAUCCUUCUCCAAUGGAUUGCACAGAUUUAGUCAUAGGUGCCGCUAGAGGCAUGCGCAGUUGGAUUGGUGACUAUUAUACACGUGAUUUUUCUACUCCACUCCGGGAUCAGUUAUACGAUGGCUCAGAAAGUCUAACAGCAGCAGUUGGGUUUGAAAAGGACGGCUAUACAUACAUUCUAUUUCGAAGAAAAAUGAAAGGUCAAAGAAAUAUUCCACCCUCCCUAAAGUGCUAUAACAAAUGGGGAAACUGUUCAAGAAGCAAUGACGUAAAUUGUUUCCUAGUCACAUGGACUUAUGACACCAGUCAGAUUACGUUUACAAUCAAAGCUUAUUUAGCAUUAAAUCAUUGGGUUAGCAUUGGCUUCAAU
Molecule: long non-coding RNA, 437 nt
Organism: Saccostrea echinata
Lineage: Eukaryota; Metazoa; Mollusca; Bivalvia; Ostreida; Ostreidae
Exons: 3
Source: RefSeq, a predicted model, not a curated record